Molecule: ribosomal RNA, 253 nt
Filed under: uncultured bacterium
Lineage: Bacteria
Description: partial 16S ribosomal RNA
Rfam family: Bacterial small subunit ribosomal RNA
Source: RNAcentral
UACGGAGGGUGCAAGCGUUAUCCGGAUUCACUGGAUUUAAAGGGUGUGUAGGCGGGUAUUUAAGUCAGUGGUGAAAUCUCCGAGCUCAACUCGGAAACUGCCAUUGAUACUAUUUAUCUUGAAUAUUGUUGAGGUAGGCGGAAGAUGUCAUGUAGCGGUGAAAUGCUUAGAUAUGACAUAGAACACCGAUUGCGAAGGCAGCUUGCUAAACAAUUAUUGACGCUGAGGCACGAAAGCGUGGGGAUCAAACAGG